This is a long non-coding RNA of Bombyx mori (domestic silkworm), 1386 nucleotides long. RefSeq lists it as uncharacterized. NCBI's taxonomy places the organism in Eukaryota, Metazoa, Arthropoda, Insecta, Lepidoptera, Bombycidae. The transcript is spliced from 2 exons. The record is from RefSeq and is a predicted model, not a curated record.
AAUCAUCAUGAGGUAUCGACGUUAUAAUUAAUUAAAAAUGAAAUUAUUGAACAAUAUUACCUAUCCUUGACAACGAAACUUCAAAUUAGUGUUUGAGUGGUCGUCGACGAACAAUGUCGUUAUGAGUAAAUAGGGAUUUACUACCACUAGCACAGGACCUACGUUUACUACACUAUUCCAUUGGGAUAUUGCGAGAGCAACAACAAGAACAAUUUACAAAAUGUGUGUUUUUUACGUUUCUUUGCACACAGAAAACAAUAAUACGAUUUUAACAUUGAUAUCCUAGUUAUGGAGUUUUAACAUUUAGAAUGAUCUCAAUGUUAAAACCUAGUUCUAUAAUAAAUCUAUGAAGAUUGAGAUCUGGCAUUUUUUCUAAUUCGAUUGGACGGACGAAUAGUCCACUAAAUAUGGGGAUUAAGCGGUUGACGAGGCCAAAAGUUGAAGCAUCGAAGGAAAGUGAUUGUAUUGCAACUGCAUGGAUACUAAAGAGUCGAUGCACAUUCUUCACUGUCGGCAAUUCACUAGUACACAUGUUAACGUGAAUGUUCAACGAGCGUGGAAAUCUGGAAAACCACGAACUAAAACAAACAACAUUCCUUCUGUUCACGACUUGUUGUUAUGUAACGUCAUUCUGUAUUACUUAUUUAACAUUUUUUUUAAUUUAAAAUUUAGCCGACUCGAUGGGCAAAAUGAUAUUCAUUAUUUUUCUGCAUAAUUUAACCAGCAAACACAAAAUGAUCAAAUAAAACAAAUUACAGUAUAAAAAUAGAUUUAUUAUAACGUAAAUAGACACAAAUAUCUCAAACGCCUCAAAGUACCUAUUCUAGAUUCGAGAAAUAAUAUAAAAGAAAAAUAAUUAAAACAGAGCUUACAAAAUUCCAUGUAUGGUGUCUUUCCGCUAUCGGAAAACUCCGGACUAUGAAUACAUUGAAAACUUUACAAAUUGGAUAGAUAUAAACAAGAACGGGUAGGGCAUACAAAGAACAAAUCUAACCUUUAUUUCAAAUUCUCCUUCUGCUUAUAAAUAUACUAUAACAGAUUAAUAGCAAUUUCAGAAAACCACAAAUUAACAGCGCUACUUCAUAGUAAUUACAUAACUUAAACAUAUUUUCUUAAUCCACUGUUUAAUACCUUAAUUACUUUAAUGUCUAAUUCUUUAUUUUAACCAGUAACAUUGUCGUUAUUGUUCCAUUAACUUUAGUUUGUUUUACAUGAGUUAAAUCACGUGCUCAUCAAUUAUCAAUUAAUUGAUCUAUAAAAUAGCGUUUCAAUGUAAUGCAAUUUGGGAUUGGAACAUUUGAUUACGCGAUUAGUCCUACGUGACAUUGCUUUAAGACUGAACUGCCGAAAUAAAUGAAAAGCAACGAAUAAUAACAAAAUAUAUUU